AGGGACGCCUCUGGGAGACCGCCGGGGCCCCUCUCCAGGGACGGACAGAUCCCUGGCUACCCUCCCCGUACAGUCCAAUGGGUACCCUCCAGUGGGUCGUGGCGUCCCACCGUGCCUCUAACUGGCCCCUCUGUGCGGCGCGACACCCUCCGGGCCAGGCUACCACAGAGAAGAGCGAAGGAGUAGGGCCUCCCGAGUCAGGGGGACAGAAAAGAAAGCGAAACUCGAACAUCCAGAACUUUCGCAUUCGCCGCUUCCGCGCACCAUUAGGUGGUGGCUUCGCGAUUCCCUGUCGCGCCGGGGUCCCAGCCGCCGCGCGCCCCAGACCUGGCCGCCGGCGCCCUGCGUUCCGGACGGCCGGCGACCCCUGGCGGAGGGAGGCAGGGAACUUCCCCGACGUUAGGCGACCGAUGGCGGGGGCCGGGGGUCCCCUGCGCCUCCGCGACUGGCUGGUGGCGCAGAUCGAGAGUGGGCGCUACGCGGGGUUGUGCUGGGAGGACGCAGACAAGACCCUCUUCCGUAUCCCCUGGAAGCACGCGGCCCGGCAGGGCUACCGGGCGCAGCAGGACGCGGAGCUCUUCAGGGCCUGGGCCAUACACAAGGGCAAACACCUAGAGGGCAUCGACAAGGAGGACCCCGCCACCUGGAAGACCCGACUCCGCUGUGCCCUCAACAAGAGUGCUGACUUCUGUGAGGUGCGUGAGUGCAGCCAGAGGGACAGUUCCAGCCCCUACAAGGUCUACAGGAUCAUGGCCCCCGGUGCCCAUGGCCCAGGUGCCAGAGCUUGUGCUCCCCCUGAAAAGAACAUUCCACGGAAGCAGCAGGAGCCCCCUGGAGAAGUGACAGAGCUGGCCUGCGGGACAGACCAGGAUGAUUCCAGAUCAACCACAGAGGAUAAGGACACCAAGCAAGCCCCCAGGCAGACCCAGCAGGGCUCCCUGCCACCAGCAGCUUGGCUCCCAGCCCCUCUGGCUGACCACAGGUACCAGGCACAGGACCCUACACACCACUGGAGCCCCUUGCUCUCUGAGGACUUCAGCAACCCUGAUUGCUGGCUGCACGUGCGGCUGUUCUAUGGCGGGAAGCUGGUGCGCGAAACCACCACGCGCGUGGCCGAGGGCUGCCGCCUGAGCCCUGGGGCGGUCACCGCGGCGGAGCACCUGCUGGGGCCGCCAAGACGCAUGGCGAACGUGCGUCUCCCGGAGCCGCCGCCCAGCGCCGGCGUCCUGGAGCGCUUGCUGCGGCACCUGGAGCGGGGCGUGCUGCUGUGGGUGGCCCCCGAGGGCGUGUUCGCCAAGCGCUUGUGCCGGGGCCGCGUGUACUGGCACGGCCCGCUCGCCCCGCACCGCGCGCAGCCCAACAAACUGGAGCGUGAGCGCACCUGCCAGCUGCUCGACACGCUACUCUUCCUCGAGGGACGGUCUCCAGGAGCCCGAGUACCAAAUCCGUCUGUGCUUUGGUGAGGAGUACCCAGGGCCGCCAGACCAACCGGAGGAGCGGCUCAUCAUGGCCCACGUGGAGCCAGUCUUCGCCAGGGAGCUCUUCCUGCACUGGAAGCGCCACUAUAGUGGUGUCCCAGCAUCAACAACGGUGUCCCUCACCUGCUGACACAGCUGAGUCAGCAGUAAAGGGUCACUUGCUCCUCUCCUAUCGUCCCAAGUCAGCACCCCUCCCGUGGGUGCGGACUCUACAGCAAACUUGCCCAAAUUGCCAGUGGUCUUGGGGCUGCCGCCUACCCAUCGGCCGGUCGGUGGGGACAGUGGAAGCCAAUCCACGCCCUUCAACCUCUCAGCGGCAGAGAUGCAGCCCCCGGAGCACAGCGCGUGGGCAGAGGCCUUGCAGCUGGACCUGGGAAGUCAGGAGGAAACCAAACUUGACCUUGAGGUUCUGGAAACAGCAAUUAGGGCAGAAACAAAACCUCAUAGCUCAGGGAGAACCCAGCAGGUCUGUGGUGGUAUACUUGAGAGCCCACUUCACCUGCAACUGAUGCAUUAUAAGGUUUGCUUAAAGCUGGGUUUACCGAUAAUUAGAUCCUCAGGGAUUAGAGUGAAGCCAGACAGUAACAGAAAUGCCUGGCUUCUGAGGGGCUCUGAGUUUCCAGACCCUUCCUCCCACCUGCCACUAGUCUCUGUUCUUAUGUGGGCAGGGAGGGAUCUCAAAGCAGAAAUUUGGCCUGAACUGGGGACUUGGGGGGUUGAUAACUGAACCACCAAUACCAGUGGAUACUGUGUUUGGAGGAACCAAGGCUGACCCCCUAACACAGCCAUAGGGCAGAAGCUAAGAGCAGAAGCAGGGGUCCAGCCCCUCCCCAGGCUCCACUGAUCAUUGUAAACUGCAAGCUGUAGGGAGUCCUUGAGAAUUGGGAGGGAGCCCCUUCAACUAUGAAGCCAGCUGACCCUGCCUUGGCAGAAAAGUCACUGUGUCCUGCCCCAGAUAUCAGACCUUGUUUCCGGUUCUGAUUUCUGACUUUUUAAAUAGGGAUUCUCCUACAGAUGGCAACAUAAUGAAUCUCUUCUAGUGAUACAUGAAUAUGCUUUUAUGGUGGGGAGGGACUGUAUGCUUCGACGAAGGUCAAUCAGAUCACUGUUUCUUAUUCAGCAAAUGUUGACUGAGCACCUACUCAGUUUCCAGGCCAGUGCUGGACAAAACAGCAGGCCCCUGCUCUCUUGGGGUUCAUAGCCUGUGUUCCAGUGGGCUCCAGUGACUGUCCCUAUCCCUGCUUCUCUUCUGUAGAAGGUGUGGUGUUAAGGAGUUAGAGAAUACUGGAUUCAAAUCCCAGCUUUGUCAUUCACUAGCUGUGUGACCUCUGGCAAGUCACUAACCUUUCUGAGGCAUAGAUUCUCCAUCUAUUCAAAAGAAGCCAUGAAGGGACACCUGGGUGGCUCAGUGGGUUAAAGCCUCUCCUUUCCGCUCAGGUCAUGGUCCCAGGGUCGUGGGAUGGAGCCCCACAUCGGGCUCUCUG
RNA transcript from Lutra lutra (Eurasian river otter), 2962 nucleotides. It is a transcript of the gene named interferon regulatory factor 4-like, with no coding region annotated. The record is from RefSeq and is a predicted model, not a curated record. NCBI's taxonomy places the organism in Eukaryota, Metazoa, Chordata, Mammalia, Carnivora, Mustelidae. The transcript is spliced from 8 exons.